This 279-nucleotide ribosomal RNA is filed under the name uncultured bacterium. Its description in RNAcentral is "partial 16S ribosomal RNA". It matches the Rfam family "Bacterial small subunit ribosomal RNA", at positions 506 to 784 of the family's 1533-position model. The record is from RNAcentral.
UGCCAGCAGCCGCGGUAAUACGGAGGGUCCAAGCGUUGUCCGGAUUUAUUGGGUUUAAAGGGUACGCAGGCGGGACUUUAAGUCAGUGGUGAAAGCCUCCAGCUUAACUGGAGAAUUGCCAUUGAAACUGAUGUUCUUGAGUAUGGAUGAGGUGGUUGGAAUAUAACAUGUAGCGGUGAAAUGCUUAGAUAUGUUAUAGAACACCAAUUGCGAAGGCAGAUCACUAAACCAUUACUGACGCUGAGGUACGAAAGCGUGGGGAGCGAACAGGAUUAGAUA